AUUGAACGCUGGCGGCAGGCCUAACACAUGCAAGUCGAGCGAGCGGCGGACGGGUGCGUAAUGUCUGGUAAACUGCCUGAUGGAGGGGGAUAACUACUGGAAACGGUAGCUAAUCCGGCGUACAAUCCGAUGUGCCCAGGUGGGGUUAGCUAGUCGGUGGGGUAACGGCUCACCUAGGCGACGAUCCCUAGCUGGUCUGAGAGGAUGACCAGCCACACUGGAACUGAGACACGGUCCAGACUCCUACGGGAGGCAGCAGUGGGGAAUAUUGCACAAUGGGCGCAAGCCUGAUGCAGCCAUGCCGCGUGUGUGAAGAAGGCCUUCGGGUUGUAAAGCACUUUCAGCGGGGAGGCGUUACCCGCAGAAGAAGCACCGGCUAACUACGUGCCAGCAGCCGCGGUAAUAC
RNAcentral lists this ribosomal RNA (406 nucleotides) under uncultured bacterium. RNAcentral describes it as "partial 16S ribosomal RNA". It matches the Rfam family "Bacterial small subunit ribosomal RNA", at positions 30 to 526 of the family's 1533-position model. The record is from RNAcentral.